GAUGAACGCUGGCGGCGUGCUUAACACAUGCAAGUCGAACGGACAGGCCCUGCUUUUGCGGGGCGCUCGUGUGGCGAGCGGGUGAGUGAAACGCGUGUAUCCCGCCCCUGACUUUGGGGUAUCAUCAGGAAACUGGGGCUCAUACAGGAUAGGAGCUCUUGCUGCAUGGUGGGGGUUGGAAAGUUCCGGCGGUUGGGGAUAGACUGGCGGCUUAUCAGCUUGUUGGUGGGGUAGUGGCUUACGAAGGCUUUGACGGGUAGCCGGCCUGGGAGGGUGACCGGGCACCAGGGGACUACGGGAGGGCCCAGACGCGUACGUGAGGCAGCAGGGGGGAAGAUGGCGCAAUGGGGGGAAGCCAGAUGCGGCAACGCUGCGAGCGGGAUGCCGUCUUUCUGGUUAUAAACCGAUGUCGCCUGUGACGAAGCGGGAUUGACGGUAAUGGGUAAGGAAGCACCGGCUAACUACGUG
This 468-nucleotide ribosomal RNA is filed under the name uncultured bacterium. RNAcentral describes it as "partial 16S ribosomal RNA". It matches the Rfam family "Bacterial small subunit ribosomal RNA", at positions 28 to 507 of the family's 1533-position model. The record is from RNAcentral.